Molecule: long non-coding RNA, 312 nt
Filed under: Panax ginseng (ginseng)
Lineage: Eukaryota; Viridiplantae; Streptophyta; Magnoliopsida; Apiales; Araliaceae
Description: long non-coding RNA (PGIN_LNC017207)
Source: RNAcentral
AUUAUGUUUAUUAAGCUUCAAUGCCCUAAUCUGAUCAUCGACAUAAUGGAGGAAACACCUGGUUUGUCGUUCUUAAUGGGGAUCCUAUCUACAAAGAGCAUGCUAGGUGACUUCAAUUCAAGGGUUUUUGCUAAUGGUAACCUCCCAAAAGUAACAUUGCUUCUGAUGGAUGGAGGGUUCCUCAAUUUUCGUAGGGGAAUUGGAUAGAGAAUUGAAGAAGUCAGGCUGAGACUAUAAAACAAGCGCUUAUUGGGAGGCAACCCAAGUUCAAUUUUUAUUUUUAGUUUUUAUUAAGUUUUAUAUUAGUAGUUU